Molecule: ribosomal RNA, 253 nt
Filed under: uncultured bacterium
Lineage: Bacteria
Description: partial 16S ribosomal RNA
Rfam family: Bacterial small subunit ribosomal RNA
Source: RNAcentral
UACGUAGGGGGCAAGCGUUAUCCGGAUUUACUGGGUGUAAAGGGGGCGCAGACGGCGAUGCAAGCCAGGAGUGAAAGCCCGGGGCCCAACCCCGGGACUGCUCUUGGAACUGCGUGGCUGGAGUGCAGGAGGGGCAGGCGGAAUUCCUGAUGUAGCGGUGAAAUGCGUAGAUAUUAGGAGGAACACCAGUGGCGAAGGCGGCUUACUGGACUGUAACUGACGUUGAGGCUCGAAAGCGUGGGGAGCAAACAGG